Molecule: non-coding RNA, 69 nt
Filed under: Corynebacterium lipophiloflavum
Lineage: Bacteria; Bacillati; Actinomycetota; Actinomycetes; Mycobacteriales; Corynebacteriaceae
Source: RNAcentral
UCUAGCCUGCGCGUUCGAGCGGGCCCCGGACGAGGGAGCCGUACCCGGGAGCGCGACAAGACGGCCAGA